AACGUACGCUGGCGGCAUGCCUAACACAUGCAAGUCGAACGAGACCUUCGGGUCUAGUGGCGCACGGGUGCGUAACGCGUGGGAACCUGCCCUUAGGUUCGGAAUAACUCCCCGAAAGGGGUGCUAAUACCGGAUAAUGUCUUCGGACCAAAGAUUUAUCGCCUUUGGAUGGGCCCGCGUUGGAUUAGCUAGUUGGUAGGGUAAAAGCCUACCAAGGCGACGAUCCAUAGCUGGUCUGAGAGGAUGAUCAGCCACACUGGGACUGAGACACGGCCCAGACUCCUACGGGAGGCAGCAGUGGGGAAUAUUGGACAAUGGGCGAAAGCCUGAUCCAGCAAUGCCGCGUGAGUGAUGAAGGCCUUAGGGUUGUAAAGCUCUUUUACCCGGGAUGAUAAUGACAGUACCGGGAGAAUAAGCGCCGGCUAACUCCGUG
This 433-nucleotide ribosomal RNA is filed under the name uncultured bacterium. Its description in RNAcentral is "partial 16S ribosomal RNA". It matches the Rfam family "Bacterial small subunit ribosomal RNA", at positions 29 to 507 of the family's 1533-position model. The record is from RNAcentral.